Molecule: long non-coding RNA, 4509 nt
Filed under: Podarcis lilfordi (Lilford's wall lizard)
Lineage: Eukaryota; Metazoa; Chordata; Lepidosauria; Squamata; Lacertidae
Source: RNAcentral
CUGUUCCACAAAUACACCCCCCCCCCUGGCUAGCAGUCUUGGUGGUCAUCAGAAAGAAGCUCCAGCCCUCUGGGUGCAAUUCUGAAGGACUUCAUCACCAGACUUUGGUCUGGUUCUGCUGUCUAUCACAAACACUAUUCUGUUGGUGGUUAUAUGCAACAAGACCUUCUCAGAGGUGGCCUCGCAGCUGUGGAAUUUCAUCCCAUGUGAGGUCAGGCAAGCCCCGCCCCUGGAUAAUUUUAAACAGGCCUUUUUUAUGGCCUUCGGAAGCUAAUUGCAAAUAUUGCUGUAUAAAUGGCAUUGCGGCCUAGUUUCUAAAUAGGCUAUUUGCUAUUUCCCUGCUGGCUUUUAGAAAAUACGGCACAGAUAUUUUAAAUGGUUUUAAAAUGUGUUUUCAAAUAUAAAUCAUUGUCAAUUAGGGUUUGAUGUGUGGAGAAAUUACCGUUUAAAAUGUGUUUCCUGAGACAGGGUUUUGUUUUUUUAAAAUAAAAGUAUGCUGUGGAUGUGGGGUUAUGUGAAGGAUUAAGUUUAAAAUACCAUGAAUCUGAGGGUAGAUGGCAGUUGGCAGCUACUCAGUUGCAAAAAGAAUGGUCAUGGAAAAGCGGGUUCUUUUUAUAUGAACCAAGAGGAUUGUAAAAUUUCACUGGGUAGAAAUUCUUGGUCACUUAUUGGACACAAAAAAAGUGGUCUGGUGAGGGGGUAGAAUUAUAUGCCCCUCAAAUCUGACUGGUUGGUUGCAAGUGUAGGCUGGCUGGAACAUAAAUACAACCAUUCUCAAUGUAUUUUUGCUCUGCUACACAUUUGAAAAGGGCAUGUUUAUUCUUCCAUUGCUGCUGCUGCAGCUGCUUCUGCCAUUUUCAUCUCGCACUAUUUCAGCUACUUUUGAGUUGAAAUCUGACAAACUUUUUUUGUGCUUGCUUUGCACCAGGAACCUGUUAAUGCAAUGUCGGGGUUAUUUGCAAUGAAUAAUACAUUGACAUUUUAUUCUCCUGAGGAAACAACUUUAUUUUGAAUUCUUUGUUUUGGUGUGCUCAUUUGAGGCUGGAACAUUUUGUACACUUAGCUGCAGGAACCAGAAUAGCUGGUUGCACCCUUCUGCUCCACUUAUUAGGAUCCCAGCAAUAAAAUUGUCUAAUUUCAUACAUACUCUCGUAUGCCCCCCCCUUUUACUGCUGAUGUAAUUAUUUUAAUUAAACUGCCCUGUUCCCACAGGCUCAGGCAAACUUACUAUUAAUAAAGCAAUAUUUCCUUUGCUUUUUGCUUAUCCUCAUCAUUUACUUAACCUCCCUACAAAUACUUUUCAUUGAAAUGAUUUUAAACAAGAUCUUAAAAAUUGUCCUCUGCCCCCCCCCCCCCCCUGGCAGCCUAGCAAAAGCUGGUAAGUGUUUCUAGAGACCAAUGCUACCUGGGUAAGCAGAAACAUUGAAUCACAGAGAACACCCAAAUUGCAUUCUUACCUUUUUUGGCUCUCUCCAUAUCUUCACCCCUAUCUUUGUACCAUUGUUUCCAGUUCUAUCUCUCCCCAUGAGCUUCAGUCCUCCAGUUUGAAACCAGCUCUACCUACCUUCCUUGCUACCUCUCGUGCCUACUUCCAAGAGUAUCUAGCGAACGGGUAGGUGAUGUGGUGCCCUCCAGAUGUUUUGUGGACUACAACUCUCAUCAGCCCCAGCCAGCAUCACCAAUGGGGAAGAAUGAUGGGACAUGCACUCCACUGGUGAUAUUCCAUUAAAUAUUUGCACCAGUGCAAUGGGAUUUCCUCCCUCUCCUCCCCUCCCCUCCUGUGUGACCUGAACCAUUACCAAAUCUGCUCUGGAGGGUUGGAGGAACCCCCAGUACAGAUUUUGGGGAUACAUGGUGUGUGUGAGAACAGUCUAUUGUACAAGGAGAAAUCUUGCAUUGGGGGAAUGUUCUCCUUAUUGUUAGGUUGAAUACAAGCCCAUUACACCAAGAGAGCACCACGUUGGCUACCCCUGAUGUAGAUAGUACUCCCUUUUUGUCUUCAUUCAGAUCCCCACCUGUAAGCGUCACCUUGCUGGUAAAACCUUUGGCCUACCCUCUUAAGUCACCAUCACCGGCUAAAUUUUAAGCUGUGUUUUUAUCUUGUGUUCUCAUCCUGUGAACCACACUGGGAAGGGAGGUAUAUAAAUAUAAAUAGUAGCAGUAGCAGCAUCUAAAGUACAUGUAUUCAUUCAUACCCACCCCUUGCCCCUUAACAUCAGCUUCUCUCAGCAGAAGCUCGUCUUUUGGGCUUAAGUCUGUACAGCAGCACAUAGACUGAUAAGAUUUCAACCAGCGCUGGCAACAGGGCUCUAUAUUGUUACAAGUUCCUUAACAUACAUCCCAAGCUGCCUAUGGCUGGAAACGAGGAUACUGGACUUUGAUGGGCUACUUGCUUCACCUAGUGUUCAUUGCAGUUUGAAUCUGAAGCUGCAAGCAAGAACCGACUGCAACCAGUGCACAGAGUUGGUGUUUGGUGUAGCCGCAGUCAUCCCCACCAUUAAGGAGAAAACUCCCAACUGAUGCAGCAAGCUGGAGAGAUGAAAUGGCACAAUAAGAGCAUUUUGGAAAGCGGAUGAAGACGAUGCCACGAAAGAAAUGCAGGAGCCAGGUGGGAACACUCAGUAAGGUGUCGGAUAGGUGUGAAAGCAUGAGAUCCACUACAUUUAGAACAGGUUUAAACAUAUUAAAAUUCUGGCCCCACUUUCAAUAAGGCACAGGAUUCAUGUUUCUUUGUUUUUCUUUUACCAUAUACUAUUCCCCCCCCCUUUUUAACCCCGUUACAUUAUCCAGAGACACAGAAAGAGAGAGGGAGCUAAAAGUAUAUUGUUUAUGAUCAGAGCGUAGGUUGCUUUGUGGACAAAAAGAACUACUUUUAACUAUAUAGUUUCAAAAUUCCAAGGGGUAAAGAGAAAAAUCAUAUAUUGUUUGUUUGCAGAACUCAGCAUAGCUAAAAUUGUACAAUCCUUCUAGCAAAGCUGAACAUUUAAAGCCAAGUUUUAAAGCCAAGCCAAACAGAAUGAGCCCCACAAAAAGCCAAAGCCAACACAGAUGGCAUUAACAUUAUAAAAAAGAGACUACUUGUUUAAAAGCCUUUUUAUUUUCCUUCACCAUUAUUGUUUUACAAUACAAAUUUCACCUUGUUGAACACACAAAAAAAACCCUACAGAAGAUAACUCUGUUUCACGUAAAAUACAGAAUGAAUAUAUAUAUUUUUAUAUAGAUAGAUAGAUAUAUGCUUCUUCAUUCUUAAAAAACUAUUUUGUUCUGCACAUUGGCAAGUAUAGGAUAGAAUACUUCCCCCAGACACAAUAUGUAUGGCAGGACUGAAAUUUUAGAGUUACAUGCAGUUUCUGCACAAUUCUGUUUUCAAGAAAUCAAUUGUUUUUCAACAAAAUUUUCAGGGAUGAGACAUUGUUUAUAGUUUGAUUUUUGAUUUGCUAAUCAUUUGGAGAGAAAAAUAAUCUUAUAAAAAGGAAUCCAUAGCUGUUUUCUUGCUAUAGUUAAAAUCCAUGUAUGGAAUGGACAAUAAAAUAAUUUAAGAAGCAAAUUUCACUCUAACAUCUCCACAAUAUGUGAAGACUUGAUUAUGGUAUUUGGUUUUUCUUCCAAUUUAGUCAUCUGAACAUUGCAAGCAGAUUCCCAAUUUAAUUUAGAUAUAAAAUCAAAAUUUAGUAAUGUAUACAAUACAUAUAAUAUUUGUUUCAUGGAAUACUUUAUUUUAAAUUAAAACUUGUAAAGACUGCCUACUGACCAUACUAUCAAGACAAGAAAGGCACUAGAAACAGAUACAUCUCUCUCCCAAGAAGCUUUUUUUUAUUUUAACUCUUUUCUCUGACAUGUAAAAAUCUUUUUUAGAUUUUAUUUUUACGCAUAUCAUUUUGAAAAAUAAAGUUAGGAAAUACUUAGAAAAAUCACUUUACAACAGAAUAAUUUUUUGCACUUUUUGACACUGUCACUGCAGAUUUACAAAAUCAAAGUUUACCAAACCUUUCUGUGUCUAUCAUUAGUAGCUUCAGUGAAACAGGUAGAAAGAUUCCUGUAUAUUAUUAUCCCAAUCAGGUAUUUAGAAACCUUCAUAUAGACAUUUGCUAGAAAAUGGCUUACAGCCCAAUCUUUGGGGCAAGAGAUAUGAAAAUUAUGUUUUCCCAAGAAAAUAAUACGCUUUGUUCCCAGACGAGACUGGAAAGACCAGAACUUAUGAUAUAAAAGCCUCUUUUUCUGUUUACGCUGCUGCAUCAUAUACAAAGAAACAUGGUGAUUAGCAAUGCAAAUCCAAAAUCUAUUAACAAGAAAUGUAUACAGUGCAUGAUAAUUUACGGUUUCGUUAUUGUUGUCCAUCGCAGAUCCUUUGGAGAGAGAAAAAGUUCACAGUGCUUACCAGGUAAGAGACUAGAUUACAGUCAAGGUAAUGGUUAAAAGGUAGAGGAAAGGGAGCAGUUCAGUUUUUAUGGCAUCUCUUCUUGUGGAGUUCUUAGCACUUUUGGACAGUUCUUUUGCCAUCUCUUCUUC